Non-coding RNA from Ornithorhynchus anatinus (platypus), 72 nucleotides. The record is from Rfam. Lineage: Eukaryota; Metazoa; Chordata; Mammalia; Monotremata; Ornithorhynchidae.
AGCAGCGUGGCUCGGCGGAAAGAGCCUGGGCUUCGGAGUCAGAGGUCACGGGUUCGACUCCCGGCCCUGCCA